GAUGAACGCUGGCGGCGUGCCUAAUACAUGCAAGUCGAGCGAACAGAUCAGGAGUUUGCUCCUCUGACGUCAGCGGCGGUCGGGUGAGUACCAUGUGGUUAACCUACCUCCACGACUGGGAUAACUUCGGGAAAUCGUAUCUACUACCGGAUAAUAUAUUGAAUUUCAUUGUUCACUAGUUAAAUUCGGUUUUUCUUUCACUUAUAGCUUGAUCCGCGCCGCAUUAGCUAGUUGUCAAGGUAACGGGUUAGCAACGCAGGGAGGCGUAGCCGACCCGAGAGGGUGGUCGGCCACACUGGAACUGAGACACAGUCCAGACUCCUACGGGGGGCAGCAGUAGGGAAUCUUCCGCGAUGGGCGAAAGCCUGACGGUGCAACGCCGCGUGAGGGAUGAAGGUCUUCGGAUCGUAAAGCUCUGUUAUUAGGAGAGAACAAAUGUGUAAGUAACUAUGCACAUAUUGACGGUACCUAAACAGAAAGCCACGGCUAACUACGUG
RNAcentral lists this ribosomal RNA (497 nucleotides) under uncultured bacterium. Its description in RNAcentral is "partial 16S ribosomal RNA". It matches the Rfam family "Bacterial small subunit ribosomal RNA", at positions 28 to 507 of the family's 1533-position model. The record is from RNAcentral.